GUCCUUUUGUAGUCCGUGAGCAUGACGAUUGGGUUUUCACAUGCACGUGUGAGAUGGGGCUCCUUCAGAUCUAAUUACAACAUAGGCACAUUACUCAUCUCAUA
Molecule: small nucleolar RNA, 104 nt
Organism: Nycticebus coucang (slow loris)
Lineage: Eukaryota; Metazoa; Chordata; Mammalia; Primates; Lorisidae
Product: small nucleolar RNA U13
Exons: 1
Source: RefSeq, a predicted model, not a curated record